GUUAUAUGAGCAAUGGCAAAUUAAAGCAGCGCCAGAUUUAAGAAAUGAGAGGAGCAUUUUCGUGAACUUUUCUUCCAAAUACAGGGGUAAUUUAGAGAGACAGAGCUCGUGACCUAGAAAACAUGCCUCUCUCUGUUGAGUACUCAAUCAUCGAUAAUGGCGUCCUAACUGAUUUCCUUUACAUCAAGGACAACUGUGAACUUGGUCAACGAUGAUGGCAUCAUCCCGGUGGACUUGCUCUACAUCAAAGACAAAUUUGAACUUGGUCAUUGAUGAUGGCAUCCCAAAGGAUUUCCUCUGCAUCAAAGACAACUGUGGACGUGGUCAACGAUGGAAGCAUCCUGACAGAUUUCCUCUACUUCAGAGGCAGCUAAGAUCUCGGGUCAACAAUAAUGGGGUCCCAAAGGAUUUCCUCUAAGCCAAGGACAACUGUGAACUCGGUCAACGAUGAUGACGUCCAACUGGAAUUCCUCUAUAUCAAAGACAGCUGUGAAAUCGAUCAAUGGUCAUGGUUUCCCAGUGGACUUCCUCUACAUCAAAGACUGAACUCGGUCAACAAUGAUGACGUCCCAACAGAUUUCUUCUACGCAAUGAGAAACAUAGCUCAUGGCCUAGAGAAGAUUCCUAUCCCAGUGGCUGUCCUCUACCUUAAAGACAACUGUGAACUUGUUCAAUGGUGACGGCGUCCCAACGGAUUUCUUCUACAGAAAAGACAAUUGUGAACUUGGGUUAUCAAUUAUGGUGACCCAUUGGAUGUCCUGUACACCAAAGACAACUGUGAACUCGGUCAAAGAUGGUGGUAUCCCAGUGGAUGUCCUCUACGCCAAAGACAACUGUAAACAUGGUCAACGGUGAUGGCAUCCCAACGGAUUUCCUCUACAUCAAAGACAACUGUGAACUUGGGUUACAUCAAUGAUGGUGACCCAUUGGAUGUCCUGUACACCAAAGACAACUGUGAACUCGGUCAACGAUGAUGGCAUCAUCCAGUGGACUUGCUCUACAUCAAAGACAAAUUUGAACUUGGACAUCGAUGAUGGCUUCCAAACAGAUUUCCUCUGCAUCAAAGACAACUGUGGACGCGGUCAACAAUGAAAGCAUCCUGACAGAUUUCCUCUACUUCAGAGGCAGCUAAGAUCUCUGGUCAACAAUGAUGGGGUCCCAAAGGAUUUCCUCUAUGCCAAAGACAACUGUGAACUCGGUCAACGAUGAUGACAUCCAACUGGACAGCCUGGACUUCUUCUACAUCAAAGACAGCGGUGAAAUCGAUCAACGGUGAUGGUGUCCCAGUGGACUUCCUCUGCGUCAAAGACAACUGUGAACUCAGUCAACAAUGAUGACGUCCCAACAGAUUUCUUCUACGCAAUGAGAAACAUAGCUCAUGGCCUAGAGAAGACUUGUGUUGAGAACUCAGAUUGAUGAUGGCGUCCCAUUGGCUGUCCUCUAAGUCAAAGACAACUGUGAACUUGGUCAACGGUGAUUGCAUCCCAACGGAUUUCCUCUACAUCAAAGAGAACUGUGAACUUGGGUUAUCAAUGAUGGUGACCCAUUGGAUGUCCUGUACACCAAAGACAAUUGUGAAAUCGGUCAACGAUGGUGGUAUCCCAGUGGAUGUCCUCUACGUCAAAGACAAAGUCUGUGAACUUGGGUUAUCAAUGAUGGUGACCCAUUGGAUGUCCUGUACACCAAAGACAACUGUGAACUCAGUCAACGAUGAUGGUGUCCCAACAGAUUUCCUAUAGAUAUGUCAAGGACGACUUUGAGUUAUCAAGACUGAAUAUUGGCAGGAGUCGUUAACACAUGCAGGAUGGACGUCUAAUGCCAGACUUCAACUACCAGGAGCCUCCUAUGAUCUUUGAAUGUAACAUUGCGUGAAGGUGCUGGAGGAACUGUCGCAAUCGCUUCAUACGGAACGGCAUCAGGAGAGACAUGCAGGUGUUCCAUAGUCCUUCGAUGGGAUGAGCUGUUGGAUGUAGGAUGCAGGAUGUUCCCAGAGGCUCUUUUAUAAAUAUGAAGCCCUACUGCUGAAUGCAAGGCUACCAGAUGGCAAGGAUGGCAACGUCACAUCUUUCUAGAGGCGAUGGAUGGCAACAGAUACAAUGUCUUCAGGAUCAACAGGAGGUUGUGACAGAUAACAAAGAUUGCAUGGAAGGUGCUUUCCUUGUGCUUGUUAUUGAUCCCUUCCAAGAGAACUUCCAGUAUUGCGUUCAAGACCAGGAGGUUUGAGAUCAUGCCUUGCAGCUCCAGAUCAACAAAGCCUGUCGCACACUACACAAUCUUUUAGCGAUCCAAUUUUUGGAGAAAAAAAUGUAAUAGCGUUCAAUCUUAAAAAACUUUAUAACUUAGUUUAUUAACAAAUAUCAAAAUUUCAAUUUCAAUCAACAAUGAGCCUCCUUUGAAGGAAUAAAAGCGAAUUCAAUUCCAAAUUGUAGCGAUGUCAUACAAAUCUUACCAUCAGCUACAAUUUGAAGACAGUUUUGAUUUUACUCAGACAAUACAGCUUGCAGUGAAACAAUAUUGUGUUUUUCAUGUUCCUGGCAUUAUUACAAAUUUCUUCUAAAAUUAUUUUACUUUUUUUAACUUCCAUGUUUAAUGCAAAUAUAUGAUGUUUUAAAAAAUUGGGUCGCAGAUGGAUUACAUAGUGUGCGGUGGUCUUGACAGAACAUCAGAGAUCAAGAUUGAAACCAUGAGACCACGGGGGUGUUUCACAAAGAUGUAAGUAUGACUUAGAGUCGCACUUAAAUGCCGAGUUGCGUGCGGUAUAAAAGGCAUGACUGCAUUGGUCAGAUCAUGCAAAGAUGAUGCACACUACUGCAAAUCAAUCAAUAAGAUUGCGUGUUGCAUAUCUUGUACGCGUCGGUAUUUAAGUGCGACUCCAAGUCAUACUGAAAUCUUUGUGAAACAACCCCAGCUUUCAUAAAGGACAAGUCUACUGCAACGAAAAGUUAAUUUGUAUAAAAAGAAAAAAUCAAACAAGGAUAAUGCUGAAAACUUUACCGAAAUCGGAUGUCAAACAGGAAAGUUGAUACUUAAGUUUUGCUUAAUUUCACAAAACAGUUAUAUGCACAUCCUGGUCGGUAUGCAAUUGAGGAGACUGAUGACAUCACCCCUCAAUAUUUCUUAUUUUAUGAUAUGAGUACGAAAUAUUUUUAUUUUCUCAUUACAAUGUGAAAGAAUGUUUGAAUUCUCCCAGAACAUUGAGAAUUGCCAUUGGUACAACCUAUUUCGAUUCGAUGAAGAGUUUCCUUACAAACACCUGCAAAAAAAUAAAAUAUGGUAUAAUUUGUACAUCAAAAUACAAAAGUAAUAGUGAGUUAGUGACAUGAACUCUUGUGCAGUGUAUAUAACUGUUUUAUGAAAUUAUUUUGUAUCCGAUUUCAAAGGAAUUUCAGCAUUUGGCUUGUUUAAUUUUUGUAUCGCCUGCAUAGCAGAGCCAGACUAAGCACCACUUUUCCGACGGCGGCGGCGUUGUCAACAUUUAAAUCUUAACCAAGGUUAAGUUUUUGAAAUGUCAUCAUAACUUAAAAAGUGUAUGGACCUAGUUCAUGAAACAUGGACUAAGGGCAAUCAAGUAUUACUGAACAUUCUGCUGAGUUUCAGGUGAACAAGGUCAAAGGUCAUUUAGGGUCAAUGUACUUGGACCAUGUUGUGGGGAUGAACAUCGAAAUCUUAACCAAGGUUAAGUUUUUGAAAUGUUGUCAUAACUUUGAAAGUGUAUGGAUCUAGUUCAUGAAUUUUGAACAUAAGGAUAAUGAUAUAACACUGAACAUCCUGAGUUUCAAGUCACAUGGCCAAGGUCAAAGGUCAUCUUGGGUCAACGAACUUUGGCCAUGUUGGGGGUAUUUGUUGAAUUGCCAUCAUAACUGUAAAAUUUUAUGCAUCUAGUUCAUGAAACCCGGACAUACAUGUAAGAGCAAUCAAGUAUCACCAAACAUCCUGUGCGAGUUUCAGGCCACAUGAUCAAGGUCAUAGGUCAUAUAGGGUCAAUGAACUUUGCCCAUUUUGGAGGAAUUCGUUGAAUUGCCAUCAUAACUUUGAAAGUUUAUAGAUCUACAUGUAGCUCAUGAAACUUAAUAGACAUAAGAGUAAUCAAGUAUCAUUGAGCAUCCUCCAUGAGAUUCAGGUCACAUGGCUAAGGUCAAAGGUCAUUUAGAGCCAAUGAACGUAGUAUUUCAUCAUAUAAUUUUUUUUUUUUAAAUAACUAUUCAAUAGUUGUUUUUCAAAGUCAGCACUGCUGCUAUAUUGAAUGACGUAAUGCAGGCGAGACUGCCAGAGGCGCUCCACUUGUUUUCCAUAUUUACCUAAAUCAACUUUUUCUUGGGGUUGACUUGUCCCUUUAAGGGGAAGACCACCCUGACAAAAAGUUUAUCGUAAAAAAUAGCCGAAAAAAUGAUAUGAAAAAUAUUGAAAAAGGUUUUAGAAAAAUCCAUCAAAGAAUAAUAAAAAAGUUUAAUUAUUUGAUUUGUGACGUCACAUGCAAGCGGCUUUCUCCCAUUUUGUAUAUAAAAUCAAUGAAAAUCAAUGAAAUUUAAUUUUCUCCAAAAAUUGAAAAUAGUUUCCACUGUACCUUCAGUAUAUCAUUAGAGAAUUCAUUUCACACCCGUUCCUACAAAGAAAACAGAAAUAAGUCAUCUCGAACCAUUAAAGAAUUGAAAUUAAUGUAUUUUAUUACAUAGCGUAUGGAGCAGCUGCUCGUUUAUUAUUACAAAUCCAAUACUUAAAAUUCUAAUGUCUUCCUCUAUCUCUAAUGGAUUUUCCUCAAAUUUUCACCAAUAUUCUUUAUUAUUUUUUUUCUAUUUUUUAAAACAAACUUUUCUUCAGGGUGAACUUUCCCUUUUAUAAAUGAAGGAACUUUGUCGCCAGAUCAAAGGUCCGAUCACCGUAGGAAAGCCUGUUCAAUCAUUGAAAUUAAUACUCUGCCAAAACAUGUGAGCCAAAAUGACUCAUUUUUAUGCCACCUUGCUGAAAAAAUCUGAAGAUCAAUCAUUCUCUUCUGACAAAUAUUAUGUCAUUUAUUUAUCUGUGUAACUUUGGACAAACAUUCCUUUAAAAAUCAAGGGUGGAUGUUUAAUAUACAUCCACUAUUCUUCAUUGAGGUGGUUUGUUGCAAUAUGUGAACAUACUGAAAAUGGUUGCAGAGUAUUUGUUUCACCAUAAUUGAAUAGGCCUUGAUGGUGAAAUGUAUAUUGGUAUAAUGUUAUGCAUUCAAGUGUACCAUCUAAAAUAUACUUAUUACUAGACCUGUAUUUUAUUGUAACUUGCAUAAGGCUAAAUGUAUAAAAGUUACUUCAAAGAACCUCAAAAUAAGGUAUCCUUACAUCUUUGGCAACCAUUUGGGAUCGCAAAUGAAAUU
Lytechinus pictus (painted urchin) is the source of this 5350-nucleotide long non-coding RNA. RefSeq lists it as uncharacterized. Lineage: Eukaryota; Metazoa; Echinodermata; Echinoidea; Temnopleuroida; Toxopneustidae. The record is from RefSeq and is a predicted model, not a curated record. The transcript is spliced from 6 exons.